UUUAUUUAUUUAAUUUGUUUGGAAAAUAGAAAUAAAUAAUAAUUAAUAAUAAUAUGGGGAUGUCUGAAAGUAUCAAGGUUAUUGUCUCUCUCUUUCUUGUGGUGUUAUUGGCUCUUGCAGCAACCCAGACAGAGUCAAGAUACAUAAAUUAUCAUGCCCUUCAUGGAGAUCACAGUUUAAUUUGUGAUAAAGCGCACCCAAACACCUGCGAGAAGGAAGAAGCCAAUCCUUAUACUAGAGGAUGCGAGACAAUCGAUCGUUGUCGUGGUCAAUCUCUAGGCCCAAAAAUGUGAAUCGACCAAGUAGAGUACACCACCCUUGGUUAAUUUUACAAAUGAUAUCUCCAUAUUAAUAUCAGAUGAUUAAUUUCAUUCAUUAUUUAUUUAUAAUCUGUAUUGGUUUGUAACUGAUUGUUACCCUAUCAUUUAUGAUAUAAAACAAAUAUAUUUAUGUUAUCUUUUUAUUUUUGAAUAUAUGUUUAAUUUAUUCAAAAGAAAACAAACUUUUUUACCCAAGUGCCACUAAGUUUUGUAAACAAUUAUCCACAAGCUUAAACCAGCUGCGUUCUUGAACUCUCUCGUUUGAUAAAAGGAGAGACACCGAUUGCGAACAAGUUUCUCCAAAGAUUUGGCAAGAGAUGUCACUGUCGUAAGAGCUGCUCCUUGUCUUCUAUCGUUACGUUCUUUCCAUAGUACAUGAACUGAAGCUUGUAAUACAUACCGUGUGAGAAAACGUUGGAGAAAACUGUGUCUUUUAUCUAAGGAACAUAAUCCUCCUGUUUUCUGAUAUUCUCCCAUGUUCUUUUAGUACUGAAAACUGGUUUGUAUUUUUCCUCCUUGUAUUUCCAGUGAGAUUGAUCCUCCACAACUGAAAUUUAUCCCUUUAAGCAUCUAUAAGUGUUUCCACCUCAUUAAAACGAUCAACUCGAUGCCUUCGUCUUCUUCGAUUAGCAACAGCCUUUGCGACAGUGAAUUUUAAAGGAAUUCCUAUGUAAAGCUAUUCCCGCGCCAUUGGAAUUUAAAGGAUUUGGAUAUAGUUUAAUUGUUGAUUUUAAAUGAUAUCUCAAUUAUUUGGGCGAUUGUAACUAUUUAUUGUUGUUUUGAAUAUUUAUAUAUAUAUAUAUAUAUUAAAAUAUUAUUUAUUUAUUUUAAAAUUAGUUAAAUAAAAACUUAUACCCCCAGUUAAAUAAAAACUAGCUCUACCACUGAUUGAACCUUGCAAGCUAGAUAUGUGUUGGAUCUUUUUUCGGAUAUAGCUUCUAUCCGAACAUCAGUCAUGUCAUCUUCCUCAUCGCUAGGGGUAUAUUUAGAAAGAGAAAAAUGAAAUAUAGGGUUUGGACCCCCAUUUUUAAAGGCUCACUUUUAAAAGGUUAUGUAGUUAAUUUUUUAAAAAACAUUUUACCAUUUCAUGUAAAGGAAAGAAGUGCAAACCAAGAAUGAAAAAAUGAUAAUAAUAAUAAAACAUAACUAAAGUAGGAGCUACAAUUAACAUAAAAAAGAAAAAAUAUUAUAUUUACAUAGACUUUUUAACUUUGUCUUUUCCUCUUUCUCCAUGACUCUUAAGCUUUUUCUCGUCUGUAAUAUUUGGGUUAGGCAUGGGCAUUCGAGGUUCCAAUCGGGUUUCGGUUUUGUCCAAUCAGAUCUCGGGUUUUCGGGUUUAUCAAAAUCAGUCUCAUUCGGGUUAUACAAAAAUUCGGUUCGGGACCAGUUCGGGUUCGGAUCGGGGUUAGUAAAUCUUCAAAGAACCGGUACAACCCGAUGUACUUUCGGGUUUGAGUCCCAAUCGGUUCUUUGGUUUAAAAGUACAUAAUUUGUAUUUACUUUGUAACCAAAACAUAAGUAAAAUCAGUUUUUCGGUUUUAAAAUACCUGAUUUAUAUCUAUUUUGUAACCAAAACAUAAGUUAAAUCGAUUCAAAAAUAAGAAAAGAACAUCAAACGCGAUCAUUCAAAAUUAAACGAAAGGUAAUGAUAGAAAGAAAACCAAAUAAAAUAAAGCAUAAAACAAAAACUAAGUUCUCAUGAAAUGAAAAAUAUUAUUCAAUGAAAACAAAACCAAAAUCUAAGAACUUCAAGCUUCAACCACCAACUUCAACCAUCAACAUUUAUGUAAUAUAUAAUUACUUUAGAUGUUCAAUAAUUUCUUAGUGUGUUCUGAAUACUAAAGAUUUAAGAUUAUGUUUGAUACAAGCUAUUUUGGGAGAUUUUGAAUUUUUUGGGUUCUAUCGAGUAUCCAUAUAGGUUCGGGUUCGGUUCGGAUAACACUCAUAACCCAAAAUACCACAAAACAAGAUCCAAUCGGUAUUUACGUCGUGUCGUGUCGGAUCGGUUCAGAUUCAUUUUUAUCGAAUCGGGUUCGAUUUAUUUGCCCAGCUCUAAUUUGGGUAGGCCCCCAUUUUUUCUUGCUUAUGGCCUCAUUUAUUGCCGAGAUCCCCCUACUCACCGCCUUCCGGAACGCCUUUAAAAGUUGUUUUGCGACCUUUAAUCUUGAACAAGGAAAGCAAAUUAUAUCUGUCAUUGCUAAAGAUCCCUUAAUUUUAAGAAAACAUCAACCAGCUGAUCUAUAUACUAAAAGUAUCUGUUUACUAAAAAUUACAUGUUUACUAAUUAAUCACCAUCCCAAAAAUAACUAUUUGAAGUACAUCCACUAUCUUCUAUAUAAGUACCAAUAACCUCUUCUUCAAAACCAAACAGAGCCGAUACCAAAUACAAUUAAAUAUAUAAACACAAAAUAAUUGAGCUCCUAGUCGGGGUUUCUCUUAUAAACUAUUUAUUUAUUUAAUUUGGUUGGAAAAUAAAAAUAAAUAGUAUGGGGAUGUCUGAAAGUAUCAAGGUUAUUGUCUCUCUCUUUCUUGUGGUGUUAUUGGCUCUUGCAGCAACCCAGACAGAGUCAAGAUACAUAAAUUAUCAUGCCCUUCAUGGAGAUCACAGUUUGAUUUGUGAUAAAGCGCACCCAAACACCUGCAAGAAGGAAGAAGCCAAUCCUUAUACCAGAGGAUGCGAGACAAUCGAUCGUUGUCGUGGUCAAUCUCUAGGCCCAAAAAUGUGAAUCGACCAAGUAGCGUACCACCCUUGGUUAAUUUUACAAAUGAUAUCUCCAUAUUAAUAUCAGAUGAUUAAUUUCAUUCAUUAUUUAUUUAUAAUCUGUAUUGGUUUGUAACUGAUUGUUACCCUAUCAUUUAUGAUAUAAAACAAAUAUAUUUAUGUUAUCUUUUUAUUUUUGAAUAUAUGUUUAAUUUAUUCAAAAGAAAACAAACUUUUUUACCCAAGUGCCACUAAGUUUUGUAAACAAUUAUCCACAAGCUUAAACCAGCUACGUUCUUGAACUCUCUCGUUUGAUAAAAGGAGAGACACCGAUUGCGAACAAGUUUCUCCAAAGAUUUGGCAAGAGAUGUCACUGUCGUAAGAGCUGCUCCUUGUCUUCUAUCGUUACGUUCUUUCCAUAGUACAUGAACUGAAGCUUGUAAUACAUACCGUGUGAGAAAACGUUGGAGAAAACUGUGUCUUUUAUCUAAGGAACAUAAUCCUCCUGUUUUCUGAUAUUCUCCCAUGUUCUUUUAGUACUGAAAACUGGUUUGUAUUUUUCCUCCUUGUAUUUCCAGUGAGAUUGAUCCUCCACAACUGAAAUUUAUCCCUUUAAGCAUCUAUAAGUGUUUCCACCUCAUUAAAACGAUCAACUCGAUGCCUUCGUCUUCUUCGAUUAGCAACAGCCUUUGCGACAGUGAAUUUUAAAGGAAUUCCUAUGUAAAGCUAUUCCCGCGCCAUUGGAAUUUAAAGGAUUUGGAUAUAGUUUAAUUGUUGAUUUUAAAUGAUAUCUCAAUUAUUUGGGCGAUUGUAACUAUUUAUUGUUGUUUUGAAUAUUUAUAUAUAUAUAUAUUAAAAUAUUAUUUAUUUAUUUUAAAAUUAGUUAAAUAAAAACUUAUACCCCCAGUUAAAUAAAAACUAGCUCUACCACUGAUUGAACCUUGCAAGCUAGAUAUGUGUUGGAUCUUUUUUCGGAUAUAGCUUCUAUCCGAACAUCAGUCAUGUCAUCUUCCUAAUCGCUAGGGGUAUAUUUAGAAAGAGAAAAAUGAAAUAUAGGGCUUGGACCCCCAUUUUUAAAGGCUCACUUUUAAAAGGUUAUGUAGUUAAUUUUUUAAAAAACAUUUUACCAUUUCAUGUAAAGGAAAGAAGUGCAAACCAAGAAUGAAAAAAUGAUAAUAAUAAUAAAACAUAACUAAAGUAGGAGCUACAAUUAACAUAAAAAAGAAAAAAAUAUUAUUUACAUAGACUUUUUAACUUUGUCUUUUCCUCUUUCUCCAUGACUCUUAAGCUUUUUCUCGUCUGUAAUAUUUGGGUUAGGCAUGGACAUUCGAGGUCCCAAUCGGGUUUCGGUUUUGUCCAAUCAGAUCUCGGGUUUUCGGGUUUAUCAAAAUCAGUCUCAUUCGGGUUAUACAAAAAUUCGGUUCGGGACCAGUUCGGGUUCGGGUUCGGGUCGGGGUUAGUAAAUCUUCAAAGAACCGGUACAACCCGAUGUACUUUCGGGUUUGAGUCCCAAUCGGUUCUUUGGUUUAAAAGUACAUAAUUUGUAUUUACUUUGUAACCAAAACAUAAGUAAAAUCAUUUCUUCGGUUUUAAAAUACCUGAUUUAUAUCUAUUUUGUAACCAAAACAUAAGUUAAAUCGAUUCAAAAAUAAGAAAAGAACAUCAAACGCGAUCAUUCAAAAUUAAACGAAAGGUAAUGAUAGAAAGAAAACCAAAUAAAAUAAAGCAUAAAACAAAAACUAAGUUCUCAUGAAAUGAAAAAUAUUAUUCAAUGAAAACAAAACCAAAAUCUAAGAACUUCAAGCUUCAACCACCAACUUCAACCAUCAACAUUAAUGUAAUAUAUAAUUACUUUAGAUGUUCAAUAAUUUCUUAGUGUGUUCUGAAUACUAAAGAUUUAAGAUCAUGUUUGAUACAAGCUAUUUUGGGAGAUUUUGAAUUUUUUGGGUUCUAUCGAGUAUCCAUAUAGGUUCGGGUUCGGUUCGGAUAACACUCAUAACCCAAAAUACCACAAAACAAGAUCCAAUCGGUAUUUACGUCGUGUCGGAUCGGUUCGGAUUCAUUUUUAUCGAAUCGGGUUCGAUUUAUUUGCCCAGCUCUAAUUUGGGUAGGCCCCCAUUUUUUCUUGCUUAUGGCCUCAUUUAUUGCCGAGAUCCCCCUACUCACCGCCUUCCGGAACGCCUUUAAAAGUUGUUUUGCGACCUUUAAUCUUGAACAAGGAAAGCAAAUUAUAUCUGUCAUUGCUAAAGAUCCCUUAAUUUUAAGAAAACAUCAACCAGCUGAUCUAUAUACUAAAAGUAUCUGUUUACUAAAAAUUACAUGUUUACUAAUUAAUCACCAUCCCAAAAAUAACUAUUUGAAGUACAUCCAUUAUCUUCUAUAUAAGUACCAAUAACCUCUUCUUCAAAACCAAACAGAGCCGAUACCAAAUACAAUUAAAUAUAUAAACACAAAAUAAUUGAGCUCCUAGUCGGGGUUUCUCUUAUAAACUAUUUAUUUAUUUAAUUUGUUUGGAAAAUAAAAAUAAAUAGUAUGGGGAUGUCUGAAAGUAUCAAGGUUAUUGUCUCUCUCUUUCUUGUGGUGUUAUUGGCUCUUGCAGCAACCCAGACAGAGUCAAGAUACAUAAAUUAUCAUGCCCUUCAUGGAGAUCACAGUUUGAUUUGUGAUAAAGCGCACCCAAACACCUGCAAGAAGGAAGAAGCCAAUCCUUAUACCAGAGGAUGCGAGACAAUCGAUUGUUGUCGUGGUCAAUCUCUAGGCCCAAAAAUGUGAAUCGACCAAGUAGCGUACCACCCUUGGUUAAUUUUACAAAUGAUAUCUCCAUAUUAAUAUCAGAUGAUUAAUUUCAUUCAUUAUUUAUUUAUAAUCUGUAUUGGUUUGUAACUGAUUGUUACCCUAUCAUUUAUGAUAUAAAACAAAUAUAUUUAUGUUAUCUUUUUA
RNAcentral lists this long non-coding RNA (5961 nucleotides) under Brassica rapa (field mustard). RNAcentral describes it as "long non-coding RNA (BRAP_LNC006478)". The record is from RNAcentral. Lineage: Eukaryota; Viridiplantae; Streptophyta; Magnoliopsida; Brassicales; Brassicaceae.